GGAUGGAUGGCCGAGCGGUUUAAGGCACCAGUCUUGAAAACUGAUGUACGUUAAUAGCGUACCGUGGGUUCGAAUCCCACUCCAUCCG
RNAcentral lists this transfer RNA (88 nucleotides) under Ehrlichia ruminantium (heartwater rickettsia). RNAcentral describes it as "tRNA-Ser". It matches the Rfam family "tRNA". From Rfam's summary of the family: Transfer RNA (tRNA) molecules are approximately 80 nucleotides in length. Their secondary structure includes four short double-helical elements and three loops (D, anti-codon, and T loops). The record is from RNAcentral. Lineage: Bacteria; Pseudomonadati; Pseudomonadota; Alphaproteobacteria; Rickettsiales; Anaplasmataceae.